UGCCCAAGAAGUCUCGCUUGCCGUUGAUCAAUGGGAAAAAAUUAUCCGAGUUCUCGUAUACCCACUCUGGGAAGCGAUUUUUGAAAAAUGCACGCAUCUUGGUUGAUGAGGGCCUUGGUAAGGCCAGGGCUUUUCGUCUUAUGACAGACAAUGGGCCAAAGACCGUGCUUUCUGCUGGGUAUGCUGAUGAGAUUCGCAGCCACCCUUUGCUGAACUUUGGGGCCGCUAUUGCGAAGGAAUUUCACGCCGACAUCAGAGGCUUUGACACAUUCAAGCA
RNAcentral lists this small RNA (277 nucleotides) under Histoplasma ohiense. RNAcentral describes it as "hypothetical lncRNA". The record is from RNAcentral. Lineage: Eukaryota; Fungi; Ascomycota; Eurotiomycetes; Onygenales; Ajellomycetaceae.